Molecule: ribosomal RNA, 449 nt
Filed under: uncultured bacterium
Lineage: Bacteria
Description: partial 16S ribosomal RNA
Rfam family: Bacterial small subunit ribosomal RNA
Source: RNAcentral
AACGAACGCUGGCGGCAUGCCUAACACAUGCAAGUCGAACGAGAUCUUCGGGUCUAGUGGCGCACGGGUGCGUAACGCGUGGGAAUCUGCCCUUUGGUUCGGAAUAACAGUUGGAAAUGACUGCUAAUACCGGAUGAUGACGAAAGUCCAAAGAUUUAUCGCCAGAGGAUGAGCCCGCGUAGGAUUAGCUAGUUGGUGUGGUAAAGGCGCACCGAGGCGACGAUCCUUAGCUGGUCUGAGAGGAUGAUCAGCCACACUGGGACUGAGACACGGCCCAGACUCCUACGGGAGGCAGCAGUGGGGAAUAUUGGACAAUGGGCGAAAGCCUGAUCCAGCAAUGCCGCGUGAGUGAUGAAGGCCUUAGGGUUGUGAAGCUCUUUUACCCGGGAUGAUAAUGACAGUACCGGGAGAAUAAGCUCCGGCUAACUCCGUGCCAGCAGCCGCCGUAA